This 229-nucleotide ribosomal RNA is filed under the name uncultured bacterium. Its description in RNAcentral is "partial 16S ribosomal RNA". It matches the Rfam family "Bacterial small subunit ribosomal RNA", at positions 568 to 796 of the family's 1533-position model. The record is from RNAcentral.
UGCGCAGGUGGGCUUGUAAGUCAGUGGUGAAAUACUGCCGCUUAACGGUAGAACUGCCAUUGAUACUGCAAGUCUUGAAUAUGGUUGAGGUAGGCGGAAUGUGUCGUGUAGCGGUGAAAUGCAUAGAUAUGACACAGAACGCCGAUUGCGAAGGCAGCUUACUAAGCCAUUAUUGACGCUGAGGCACGAAAGCGUGGGUAGCGAACAGGAUUAGAUACCCUGGUAGUCC